AGAAUGAACGCUGGCGGCGUGCUUAACACAUGCAAGUCGAACGGAAUCCAAGGAGCUUGCUCUGGAAGAUUUAGUGGCGAACGGGUGAGUAUCACGUGAGCAACCUGCCCCGAAGACUGGGAUAACACCGGGAAACCGGUGCUAAUACCGGAUACCUUCCAAUGACCGCAUGGUCGAUGGAAGAAAUGUUUUUCGCUUCGGGAGGGGCUCGCGGUCCAUCAGCUUGUUGGCGGGUAACGGCCACCAAGGCUUCGACGGAUAGCUGGUCUGAGAGGACGAUCAGCCACACUGGAACUGAGACACGGUCCAGACUCCUACGGGAGGCAGCAGUGGGGAAUCUUGCGCAAUGGACGAAAGUCUGACGCAGCAAACGCCGCGUGAGGGACGAAGGUUUCUGAAUUGUAAACCUCUUUACGACAGGGACAUAAUGACGGUACCUGUAGAAGAAGCACCGGCCAACUAUAGCGCCAGCAGCCGCGGU
RNAcentral lists this ribosomal RNA (481 nucleotides) under uncultured bacterium. RNAcentral's name for it is "SSU rRNA". It matches the Rfam family "Bacterial small subunit ribosomal RNA", at positions 26 to 521 of the family's 1533-position model. The record is from RNAcentral.